This 1482-nucleotide ribosomal RNA is filed under the name Klebsiella pneumoniae. Its description in RNAcentral is "partial 23S ribosomal RNA". It matches the Rfam family "Bacterial large subunit ribosomal RNA", at positions 1 to 1530 of the family's 2925-position model. Lineage: Bacteria; Pseudomonadati; Pseudomonadota; Gammaproteobacteria; Enterobacterales; Enterobacteriaceae. The record is from RNAcentral.
GGUUAAGCGACUAAGCGUACACGGUGGAUGCCCUGGCAGUCAGAGGCGAUGAAGGACGUGCUAAUCUGCGAAAAGCGUCGGUAAGGUGAUAUGAACCGUUACAGCCGGCGAUGUCCGAAUGGGGAAACCCAGUGCAAUUCGUUGCACUAUCGUUAACUGAAUACAUAGGUUAACGAGGCGAACCGGGGGAACUGAAACAUCUAAGUACCCCGAGGAAAAGAAAUCAACCGAGAUUCCCCCAGUAGCGGCGAGCGAACGGGGAGCAGCCCAGAGUCUGAAUCAGCUUGUGUGUUAGUGGAACGGUCUGGAAAGUCCGACGGUACAGGGUGAUAGUCCCGUACACCAAAAUGCACAGGUUGUGAACUCGAAGAGUAGGGCGGGACACGUGGUAUCCUGUCUGAAUAUGGGGGGACCAUCCUCCAAGGCUAAAUACUCCUGACUGACCGAUAGUGAACCAGUACCGUGAGGGAAAGGCGAAAAGAACCCCGGCGAGGGGAGUGAAAAAGAACCUGAAACCGUGUACGUACAAGCAGUGGGAGCACCUUCGGGUGUGACUGCGUACCUUUUGUAUAAUGGGUCAGCGACUUAUAUUCUGUAGCAAGGUUAACCGUAUAGGGGAGCCGCAGGGAAACCGAGUCUUAACUGGGCGUUAAGUUGCAGGGUAUAGACCCGAAACCCGGUGAUCUAGCCAUGGGCAGGUUGAAGGUUGGGUAACACUAACUGGAGGACCGAACCGACUAAUGUUGAAAAAUUAGCGGAUGACUUGUGGCUGGGGGUGAAAGGCCAAUCAAACCGGGAGAUAGCUGGUUCUCCCCGAAAGCUAUUUAGGUAGCGCCUCGUGAAUUCAUCUUCGGGGGUAGAGCACUGUUUCGGCUAGGGGGUCAUCCCGACUUACCAACCCGAUGCAAACUACGAAUACCGAAGAAUGUUAUCACGGGAGACACACGGCGGGUGCUAACGUCCGUCGUGAAGAGGGAAACAACCCAGACCGCCAGCUAAGGUCCCAAAGUCAUGGUUAAGUGGGAAACGAUGUGGGAAGGCACAGACAGCCAGGAUGUUGGCUUAGAAGCAGCCAUCAUUUAAAGAAAGCGUAAUAGCUCACUGGUCGAGUCGGCCUGCGCGGAAGAUGUAACGGGGCUAAACCAUGCACCGAAGCUGCGGCAGCGACACUAUGUGUUGUUGGGUAGGGGAGCGUUCUGUAAGCCUGCGAAGGUGACCUGUGAGGGUUGCUGGAGGUAUCAGAAGUGCGAAUGCUGACAUAAGUAACGAUAAAGCGGGUGAAAAGCCCGCUCGCCGGAAGACCAAGGGUUCCUGUCCAACGUUAAUCGGGGCAGGGUGAGUCGACCCCUAAGGCGAGGCCGAAAGGCGUAGUCGAUGGGAAACAGGUUAAUAUUCCUGUACUUGGUGUUACUGCGAAGGGGGGACGGAGAAGGCUAUGUUAGCCGGGCGACGGUUGUCCCGGUUUAAGCAUGUAGGCUGGUU